RNAcentral lists this long non-coding RNA (876 nucleotides) under Sus scrofa (pig). Its description in RNAcentral is "lncRNA (ENSSSCG00040045998.1)". Lineage: Eukaryota; Metazoa; Chordata; Mammalia; Artiodactyla; Suidae. The record is from RNAcentral.
AUGAAAACUAGCCCUGGCGGUGGCAGGUCCGCCGAGGAGCGUCGCCCGGCCCAGUCGGUCGUGACACCAGCCGGCCGCAGGAGCACCUCGCCCCGCGGCGCCCGCCUCCCGCCGGCGCGCUCAGCUCCUCCUCCCGCCCGCGCGUCUCUCUCGGCGCGGACCAGGCGGCCGGUGGCGAUCCGCACCCCGCAGGGCGAGGAGCCCCCGAGCGGGGGCAGAGCCCCCGGCUGCCCAAGGAAGGAGGGUGCCUCGGCGGCGUACAGCCCCGGGGUGUGGGCGCCGGGACCUGGCGGGGCCGGCGAUGCCGCGGCUGGACCGAGCACCACUGCUCUAGAGAACGGCAUCUACCGUGGCAACACUGACCACCCGUCCUAUUGCUGCUUCUGGUCCGUUGGUAGACUACCUAUGGAUGCUUAUCCUGGGCUUCAUCACUGCAUCUGUCCUGGCCUUCUCCGUGGGAGCCAGCGAUGUAGCAGAUUCUUUUGGUUCAGCCGUGGGAUCAGGUGUCCUGAAGCAAGCCUGCAUCCUAGCAGCGUGGGAUGGGCAAAUGCAGUGGGCAAUGAACUUUGGCAUCUUCUGGACGAGGAGCCAGGCUCUCCGCCCGCCACCCUUGAUUGGAGAAAAGAGGCCCUGAUGUCAUCCCCAGCAUCAGCCAUCUGCCUGCCACCAGCACGGGAGGCGUCUCAGCAGCCCCCUCCCAGGGGCCUUCUUUCUCGGCUUACGGAAUGGAGGGAAAAGCGUGAACAUCGAGAAACAGCAGACAAGCGACCCCCAGGCCUAGCGAAGGUGAGCUCUGUGUGUGUGUGCGUGUGUGCGCCCUUCUCUCUGCUGGACCUGUUGGCACCUUUCUCUUCCUCUCCACUGGGCUCCACGUAG